Long non-coding RNA from Mirounga angustirostris (Northern elephant seal), 2699 nucleotides. RefSeq lists it as uncharacterized. Lineage: Eukaryota; Metazoa; Chordata; Mammalia; Carnivora; Phocidae. The transcript has 3 exons. The record is from RefSeq and is a predicted model, not a curated record.
CUCUCUGAGCGCAUGCUCUGGACUGGUUCGAAGCGAUGGGGGAAAGGGGGCGGGUCUGUUCCCACGGUUCUCGAGGUUCCCACGCCUCGGAGACCCCGCAAGGCUGUGCCGCUCCAGUGGUCGGCUCAGUGCCCCCUGCCUCUGCACCCCCAGCCUAGCCAUUCUCGGUAAUAAGUGCUUAAAGGAGCAAAGGAGGAAUACUCAAUCCUCACGUAAAUCCAAACCCCUCUGUUAGUUUCCCCCACGGCCCCACGCGGCCUCCGAAUAACUCUUUAACCAGAUUCGCUGGCAGAUAAAUUACUCUGACUACUUGUAGUUACGAGCUGAAACUUCGGGCCAAAAAAAAAAAAAAUGAAGUAGGGUCUCGGCGAUCCGGGUAAAGGAGGACUGGACGUCAAGAGGGUGGGCCUCACAAUGAAGGCUACCUGUUUGCUGGAAAACCACCGUUCAAGAUCUUGUUGCCACUGUUUCUGUGACGGUGCUCUGCAUUGGUUGGUCCUAACUGAAAACAAGGGAACUCUACAGAUGCAAUUCCUACAAGCCACGCUCCAGAGCAGAUGUUACAUGGCAUUGCUACUUUCAACUUCUCUACUAUUUUGGCACCAUCUUCUAGAACAAGUGGAUUGGUCCAGCUCAUUUUCAACACCUUCCUGUCCCAACCCCCUGCCUUAGUUUGCCUCUUGUGAUGCCAAUUCCACCACUGGUGAAGUGGCAGGUGUUUCCUUGUUUACCUUGGUUUUAAUUCAAGCACAUACCAGAGCUAGUCAUUCGGUCUGAAUCCCCGCUGCUCUCUAUUCCUUCAGCGGCACAUGAAAGCAGUCCCCGAGCCCUUCUCCAGACAAACAGCCUAUCCCUGCCUGAAAUCAGCCCUUUGAGUCUCAAUUGCAGCUACUGGGCAAGUCACAGUGCUCUCCCCACUGAAAGAUCUUUUUUGGGCCUGCGGCUGACACAGCCCAGCUUGCGGGGGGUUGGGGAGGCGGGGGGAGCCUUUGAAGUUAGGUGGCCUUGUCCCCAGUGCACAGCGCUCACAGCAUUCAUCCCUAAUAAUAUCUCAUGAAGACAAUCUUUCCCGGGAAACAAAUCAGGCGGCCGCUCCAGUCUAAGUGACCGGCUUCCAAGCCAUGUGUCACACUGCAAGUAUGUGCGCAUUAAGGGGGGGUAUGUUUUCCUGGCUCCAGACCUGAAAACCAACUCUGCCCCAAGACUUAGUCGGCAGCCCGAGGACCCACAGCAAACAGAUACACUGCCCGGUCAACCCCGUGGUCUUUCUGCCCCGGCAGGAGAAGUGCCUGUUGGAACACAAAUAGGAUCUGGCUGGAGUGAAGGGGAUUGUUGCAAACUCACAUGCAGCACAUCAGAGUGGAAGCACAUUUUCUUUACUAAAUGAGUGGUUGUUCUCCUCUUCUUCCUUUUCCUCCACCUUUGGGCUUUUGCUGAGAAUGAAAAAGAAGCGAGACAAGAUCUGUAUUUUCCUUUCCCCUCCUCAGCAAGGACUAUGGGAAACAGUAGGUCUCUCUAGUGCUUAGCAUAUUAAAUAUUAACUACCAAAUAAGAACAGAAAGUCCAUUUCCCAGCCCCGCUACUCUGCCGAGCACAAAGAAGUGUUAGAUAGAUAAUAGUAGUAUUUGACAUUUUUUUCCAGGUCUUUCGAUGUGCCAGGCACACAGGCUAAGAGCUUACUGUACAGUCCAGCAUUUGAUUUUCACCUCCAUCAUUUCAAGGCAUAUUACUAUUAUUCCCAUUAUACAGAUAGGGAAACUGGGGCUGAUAGAGUAUAAGAAAUUUACUCCAAAUCUCACAGCCAACAAGAUGAGCUUUGACUCAGCACUUGUAACCAUGCUGUAGUCUGGACUUAAAAACUGUACUCGAGGGACACAUGGGUGGCUCAGUCGGUUGGGUGUCUGUCUUUGGCUGGGGUUGUGAUCCCAGGGUCCUGGGAUGGAGCCCCGCAUCAGGCUCCUUGCUCAGCGGGGAGCCUGCUUCUCCCUCUGCCUGCUGCUCCCCCUGCUUGUGCUCUCGUGCGCUCUCUCUCUCCCACGCUCUCUCUCUAGCAAAAAAACAAAACAGAACAAAACUGUACUCGAAUAGAGCAUAUGUACAAGUCAUACACCUUGGGUUCUAUAUCGCCAGGCACUAAUUGAUAGUUUAUCUAAGAUUCCACGCUGUAAAACUGCUGUCAUGUCCUGCCUGUGUCUCUAACCAAAGGAAAAUAUCAGAAUCUCCUGAACGUGGUGACUCCAUGGGCUCAUAAGAAAAGGCUUCAGUCUCCGGGCUGAAGAAGGGGGUCUCCCAAACUGCUUGAGUUUUAGCUUUUGAGAUUGACAUUAUGCUUCUUGAGCUGUAUGGCGGAUAUCUCCUUAUUCUAAAUGAAUACUUUUUGCAGAAUUGAAGAUUAAUAAAAAUCGGUCCAUAAAUUUUAUAGUGUGUAUUGUGUGUUCAUGGCUCUGCUGGGCUCUGUAGAAGAUAAGGAGGAAUAUGAAACAUGACCUCUUAUGUGGAUUUGGUGACUAGCAAAUGGGACAGACUCGAGGUUCCAUGUCACUCUAAAUUGCUCCCAGUUCCUGGGGCCAGCCAGCCACCCCUAGAGGCAUAUUGUGCUUCCUGGUCCAGCAGAAAUGUAAUCAAUGAUCUUUAGUAGCAGGGUCUGAUGCUUUUAGGUUUUAGGCUUCCUUACACUCUUAAAAAUUAUUGAAGACACA